RNAcentral lists this ribosomal RNA (238 nucleotides) under Thalassiosira minuscula. RNAcentral's name for it is "partial Bacterial large subunit ribosomal RNA". It matches the Rfam family "Bacterial large subunit ribosomal RNA", at positions 2599 to 2847 of the family's 2925-position model. Lineage: Eukaryota; Bacillariophyta; Thalassiosirophyceae; Thalassiosirales; Thalassiosiraceae. The record is from RNAcentral.
CGUGAGCUGGGUUUAGAACGUCGUGAGACAGUUCGGUCCCUAUCUUCCGUGGGUGUAGGAUACUUGAGAGGAGUUGCCCCUAGUACGAGAGGACCGGGGUGAACGAACCACUGGUGGACCAGUUGUCGUGCCAACGGCAGUGCUGGGUAGCUAUGUUCGGACAGGAUAACCGCUGAAGGCAUCUAAGCGGGAAGCCCCCCUCAAAACAAGGUAUCCCUGAGAGCCGAGGUGAAGAAUA